GCGCUCACUUUGGCAGCACAUGUACUAAAAUUGGAACAAUACAGAGAAGAUUAAUGUGGCCCUGAGCAAGAAUGACAUGCAGAUUCGUGAAGCAUUCCAUUUUUUU
Molecule: small nuclear RNA, 106 nt
Filed under: Salvator merianae (Argentine black and white tegu)
Lineage: Eukaryota; Metazoa; Chordata; Lepidosauria; Squamata; Teiidae
Source: RNAcentral